UACGGAGGGUGCAAGCGUUAUCCGGAUUCACUGGGCUUAAAGGGUGCGUAGGUGGGCAGGUAAGUCCGUGGUGAAAUCCCUGAGCUUAACUCGGGAACUGCCAUGGAUACUAUUUGUCUUGAAUAUUGUGGAGGUAAGCGGAAUAUGUCAUGUAGCGGUGAAAUGCUUAGAUAUGACAUAGAACACCAAUUGCGAAGGCAGCUUACUACACAGUUAUUGACACUGAGGCACGAAAGCGUGGGGAUCAAACAGG
RNAcentral lists this ribosomal RNA (253 nucleotides) under uncultured bacterium. RNAcentral describes it as "partial 16S ribosomal RNA". It matches the Rfam family "Bacterial small subunit ribosomal RNA", at positions 524 to 776 of the family's 1533-position model. The record is from RNAcentral.